RNAcentral lists this transfer RNA (65 nucleotides) under Stichophthalma louisa. RNAcentral describes it as "tRNA-Ile". Lineage: Eukaryota; Metazoa; Arthropoda; Insecta; Lepidoptera; Nymphalidae. The record is from RNAcentral.
AAUAAAGUGCCUGAAUAAAGGAUUAUUCUGAUAGAAUAAAUUAUGUAACUUUCUUACCUUUAUUA